UGCAAGUCGAGCGAGAAAAGGGGGGCAACUCCCUGAGUACAGCGGCGCACGGGUGAGUAACACGUGGGUAAUCUGCCCUGAAGUGGGGAAUAACACCGGGAAACCGGUGCUAAUACCGCAUACGAUCACGAGGUCUGCGGAUUUUGUGAUGAAAGGAGCAAUUCGCUUUAGGAGGAGCCCGCGGCUGAUUAGCUAGUUGGUGAGGUAAUGGCUCACCAAGGCAACGAUCAGUAUCCGGUCUGAGAGGACGGUCGGACACACUGGAACUGAGACACGGUCCAGACUCCUACGGGAGGCAGCAGUGGGGAAUUUUUGGCAAUGGGGGCAACCCUGACCAAGCAACGCCGCGUGGGUGAUGAAGUCUCUUGGGACGUAAAACCCUUUCGACGGGGAAGAAACCGCAAGGUUGACGGUACCCGUAGAAGAAGCCCCGGCUAACUCCGUGCCAGCAGCCGCGGUAAUACGGGGGGGGCAAGCGUUGUUCGGAAUUACUGGGCGUAAAGGGCGCGUAGGCGGUUCGCUAAGUUGGAUGUGAAAACUCUGGGCUCAACCCAGAGCCUGCAUCCAAAACUGGCGGGCUAGAGUUCUGGAGGGGGUAGCGGAAUUCCUGGUGUAGCGGUGAAAUGCGUAGAUAUCAGGAGGAACACCGGUGGCGAAGGCGGCUACCUGGACAGAAACUGACGCUGAGGCGCGAAAGCUAGGGGAGCAAACAGGAUUAGAUACCCUGGUAGUCCUAGCCCUAAACGAUGGAUACUUGGUGUGACGGGGAUUGAAUCCCGUCGUGCCGAAGCUAACGCAUUAAGUAUCC
Molecule: ribosomal RNA, 808 nt
Filed under: uncultured Bacillota bacterium
Lineage: Bacteria; Bacillati; Bacillota
Description: bacterial SSU rRNA
Rfam family: Bacterial small subunit ribosomal RNA
Source: RNAcentral